GGCUGGCGAGUGGAACGGAUAUAUAAACCACACUGCGCUCAUAACGCAGAGAUAACAGGUUCGACUCCUGUGCUUCAGCCCCCA
This 84-nucleotide transfer RNA is filed under the name Caudoviricetes sp. Its description in RNAcentral is "tRNA-Met". The stretch from base 9 to 71 matches the Rfam family "tRNA", at positions 9 to 63 of the family's 71-position model. From Rfam's summary of the family: Transfer RNA (tRNA) molecules are approximately 80 nucleotides in length. Their secondary structure includes four short double-helical elements and three loops (D, anti-codon, and T loops). The record is from RNAcentral. Lineage: Duplodnaviria; Heunggongvirae; Uroviricota; Caudoviricetes.